Long non-coding RNA from Bombus terrestris (buff-tailed bumblebee), 1827 nucleotides. RefSeq lists it as uncharacterized. NCBI's taxonomy places the organism in Eukaryota, Metazoa, Arthropoda, Insecta, Hymenoptera, Apidae. The transcript is spliced from 4 exons. The record is from RefSeq and is a predicted model, not a curated record.
GUAAUUUUAGUGUUCCUAUACUAUUAUUUCGGCUAUUAAGAUCCAAAACUCUCAACACAGAUUUAACUAAUAUUUUUAAAUAUACGUACAAUUUAUACACAAAAAUUGUUAAGAAAUUAGUGGUUUCAACAUAUGUACGUGGUAUUACAAUAAUACGUCUUAUCGAUAUUUAAAGAGAGAAUUCAAGAAUGGGAUGUAUGGAAAUACCUGGAGCCCUUUCCAACGCACCCCGAAUAGCGUUAGUCACGGCCAAUGUAAGGAACCAAGAGGGUGGCAGUAGGGCAGCAGAAAAAUCGGAAACCACCGAAAUUACUACGGAAAUGGAUGAAGUUAAAAAGAUAAGAAAGUCGGAAAUUAUCCCAAGGAUACGUCUGUUAGUUUCCAAUUGAGGGUACUUUUGCAACUGUUUCGCAGAAGGCAAUGUUGGUAGUAACUGCUAGUAAUAAAUGGAUGUUCGUGAGAUUACAGAAAUUAGAUCCGAAGAAAAUCAUGUUGAGUUUCUGAAAAAUGGUAUCUAAAUAUGUAGAUCUGAUGAAAAUUGUGAUGAAUUUCUGAAGCAUACCUAGUAUAAAUUUAUUGCACACAAUAUCGUGUAAUUAAUAAUGCAAUUGGUAAACGGAUUGAAUGAUGUUGAUUGUAAAGAUUUUGUAAGUUUCACUGAAUAUUUUGCAGGAGAGAGCAUGAUGAUAAGAAUCGAGAUCUAUGUGUAGGUAAUGCCAUUUGUACUUGCAGUGACAUGGAAAAAGGAAUAGACAAUGCAGGAUAAUAUUUUUUCAUUUGAAGCUUCAUUUUCCAAGAUAAUAGUGGGUUAAGUUUAGGUUGGACUGCAUAAAAAUGUGGCUAUCUGCUCCAAAAUGAAAUGUAAUUAUAACAUAAAUUGUAUUAAAGCUUUUUGCGAAUAUCUCGGAAACUAAAGCCAAGUAGCGAUAAUAUGUAUAAAAAAGUUGUCCAGAAUGAUGACCUCGACACAUCUCAAAAUCAUGAAAAUCGGUGAACUGUGUCCUCUUAUAUGUAAUUUCUUAAAUAAGUUUUAUAUUUACAUAAUGAAAAAUAAUACGAUAUAUAUCUCAAUCUUUAUUAUUUACUUACUAAUAGUAUUAACAAGAACAUUGUUAUUGUUAACAAAACAACAACGUAUGAUUCGUAUCAUUCAUUUCCAUAAUGUAUUAUUCAAGGCUCGAACAAUUUCUCUAAAUAGUAUAACAUGAAUAUAUAUUAGCAGAUGAUAUAAUGUAGCUUUGUAAAUUUGGACAGUAAUACGGCUGAAAAUUGAGCUGACGAAGCUAAAACUUGUGGUUGUUUGAAACUAGCAACGUAUCUAGAUAUGCAUGCGUUCAAUUGCAUGCACUGGACAAAUUUCAUCGAUUAAAUCCGAAACUAAACGUAAUAUUCGAAUUAUAACUUGGAACAAUGUUUACAAGAACUACAACAAUCUAAAACAACCUUCAAGUGCUCGAUUUUCAAAAAAAUGGGCCUAGUAAGAAAUCACUUUUUUUCGUGAUAAAUCAUUAUUUGUUUGGAACAAUCUUGGACUAAUGUAGAGCAACUUGCAACAACAAUAAAAAAUCUGCCUCCUCAAAUUACCUGAUAUGUAAAAUAAUGCAUAUAAGUUUUUGUUACUAUAAUUAUAGAAUUAUAUUCUUGAUAGCAUCGAAGUAGAUUUAGUUGAAUGAUAGCAAUAGUGAGCAUUGGAUAAUUCGUAGGAAUAAAUAAAUAUUAGAAUUUUAUCUAGAAAUAUAAAAUCUUUAUAUCUGGCGUUGUCUGUGAAAACAUUCAUUAAGGAUACGUUCGUUCGCCGAUUAACACUAGAACUACCGAUAGUUAACA